RNAcentral lists this non-coding RNA (65 nucleotides) under Cyanobium sp. PCC 7001. Its description in RNAcentral is "Glutamine-II riboswitch aptamer". It matches the Rfam family "Glutamine-II riboswitch aptamer". Rfam says of the family: The major groove of the PK provides the binding site for L-glutamine The record is from Rfam by way of RNAcentral. RNAcentral also lists the same sequence under 1 other name. Lineage: Bacteria; Bacillati; Cyanobacteriota; Cyanophyceae; Synechococcales; Prochlorococcaceae.
ACACGUUGAUCCUCCUGUCCCCAGGCGGAUGCAGUUGGACCCAUCUCAGGCAACGGGGAGGUGGG